This 369-nucleotide ribosomal RNA is filed under the name uncultured bacterium. Its description in RNAcentral is "bacterial SSU rRNA". It matches the Rfam family "Bacterial small subunit ribosomal RNA", at positions 527 to 896 of the family's 1533-position model. The record is from RNAcentral.
GUAGGGUGCGAGCGUUAAUCGGAAUUACUGGGCGUAAAGCGUGCGCAGGCGGUUUUGUAAGACAGGCGUGAAAUCCCCGGGCUUAACCUGGGAAUUGCGCUUGUGACUGCAAGGCUAGAGUGCGUCAGAGGGGGGUAGAAUUCCACGUGUAGCAGUGAAAUGCGUAGAGAUGUGGAGGAAUACCGAUGGCGAAGGCAGCCCCCUGGGACGUGACUGACGNUCAUGCACGAAAGCGUGGGGAGCAAACAGGAUUAGAUACCCUGGUAGUCCACGCCCUAAACGAUGUCAACUAGUUGUUGGGGAUUCAUUUUCUCAGUAACGUAGCUAACGNGUGAAGUUNACCGNCUGGGGAGUACGGUCGNAAGAUUA